RNAcentral lists this unclassified non-coding RNA (407 nucleotides) under Costus afer. RNAcentral describes it as "partial external transcribed spacer". Lineage: Eukaryota; Viridiplantae; Streptophyta; Magnoliopsida; Zingiberales; Costaceae. The record is from RNAcentral.
AGCCAUGAGGCCUAAAGGCACUCAACCAAUAAUGCAUGCUGCAUCCACGAGCACUCAAGGCACCAAUGGUCUUACUUUGAGAGAUGGGGCAAAAUCCAUGCAAUCAUCCAAAAGGCCAUAGGCGCCACCAUGCACCCACUCCUAUACCGCACAAAACGGAGGGAGGGGAGAGAGAGUAUAGCACCGAGUCAUAUUUCUCUUUUGAAAGACUAGUAAAUAGUACAGGCAAAUUUUGUGGCACCAACAGCAACAAUGGACCAUAUAAUGAAGAAUUGCACUAAUUUCGGUUGGGUGCACAAGGCACAGAGCCCGCCAUUAUAUGCAAUUAUUAAACAACUUAUGUGCCGACACGGUCAUUCCAUGUACAUUGCCUUAUCGCCCACAUGCGUGCCCAUCAAGAAGAUAGU